UACGAAGGGGGCUAGCGUUGUUCGGAUUUACUGGGCGUAAAGGGUGCGUAGGCGGAUUUUUAAGUCAGGGGUGAAAUCCCAAGGCUCAACCUUGGAACUGCCUUUGAUACUGGGGAUCUUGAGUCCGGGAGAGGUGAGUGGAACUGCGAGUGUAGAGGUGAAAUUCGUAGAUAUUCGCAAGAACACCAGUGGCGAAGGCGGCUCACUGGCCCGGAACUGACGCUGAGGCACGAAAGCGUGGGGAGCAAACAGGG
RNAcentral lists this ribosomal RNA (254 nucleotides) under uncultured bacterium. RNAcentral describes it as "partial 16S ribosomal RNA". It matches the Rfam family "Bacterial small subunit ribosomal RNA", at positions 524 to 777 of the family's 1533-position model. The record is from RNAcentral.